Molecule: ribosomal RNA, 305 nt
Filed under: uncultured bacterium
Lineage: Bacteria
Description: bacterial SSU rRNA
Rfam family: Bacterial small subunit ribosomal RNA
Source: RNAcentral
ACCUACGGGGCGCAGCAGUGAGGAAUAUUGGUCAGUGGUCGGGAGACUGAACCAGCCAAGCCGCGUGAGGGAUGAAGGUACAGAGUAUCGUAAACCUCUUUUGUCAGGGAACAAAGGCGGGGACGUGUCCCCGGAUGAGUGUACCUGAAGAAAAAGCAUCGGCUAACUCCGUGCCAGCAGCCGCGGUAAUACGGAGGAUGCGAGCGUUAUCCGGAUUUAUUGGGUUUAAAGGGUGCGCAGGCGGUCUGUUAAGUCAGCGGUCAAAGCCCAGGGCUCAACCCCGGCCCGCCGUUGAAACUGGCAGU